This 30-nucleotide non-coding RNA is filed under the name Mus musculus (house mouse). The record is from RNAcentral. Lineage: Eukaryota; Metazoa; Chordata; Mammalia; Rodentia; Muridae.
UGAGUGUAACAAAAUAACAAAAAAACGAAA